GGCAUUUUAAGAUUAUGGACUUAAUGAGCUUUACUAAUAGCCUAAUUUAAAAUUUAUGUUAAUACCUAGUGUUAAAAUGCCAAUUUAUUGUUGCGUUAUGAGUUUUUAAUGGGUUUUUAUGCGAAUUCAAUAGUAGAGGAGACGUGAAAGGAAACUUUUUUCCCUCUCUCUUUCUUUUUUUUUAAAGAUUUCAUUAUAUUUAAGAAACAACACAGUGACUUUCAUUUACUUUUAGAUAUUCACCACUGCGUUAAACUGUCUGAGAAAGGAGCCUGGGGCUAGCUAAAUUUCUCUCACUCCCAUUAGUAAUCUAUCAUCAUUUUUAGCCCGAAGUCACAAGACAUUUGACAGGCGAUUGUUGCUUGCAUCCUUCAACUAUACAUCACUAACUUCAAUGUUUCCUUUGCAACUCAUCAAAAGAAAAGACACUCCGGUAUUGUGUAAUGGAUCCUCCGGGCUAAACUAUCAUCUUUCUUAGUUUUUAAAUUCCCUUUUCACUUAUCUUCUAUAUAAAAAGCGUCGAUUCAGUCUUUAAUUAAUUAUUAACAUUAAGCACUUAAUAAAUCUAAUUAAAAGAAAGUAUUUAUUUUUUUUUAAAUAAGAUUAAUAGGAUAAUAACUUUCCCUCUCCUGUCGAGAUGUUUUCUUUGCAAUACGAUAGAUACAAGCAAGCAAAUUUAUAAAAAAAAAAAAAAAAAAAAUGGCGAAAAAACCUAUUACAGAAAUUAUUAAUAUGAUAAUGAAUUCCGAGGAUCAUUAAAUUUAGAAAAUAAGCUGGCACUCAUAUUGCUUGGGUCGCGACUCUUCUAGAAUGAACUGGACAAAGAUGAUAACAAAUAAUAAUAAUAAUCUUGCGACCUUGGAAGGGGAUUUAGCGAGUAUCCAUGACACAACUGCCCAUGUGUCCUUUGGAGUAAUUACUGUCUGCAUCUAUAUAUUGUUUCUCGCACUCCCGCUGUUAAACUUGAGUCCAGUUGUCAUCGGAGGAGGUGAAUCACUCUUCAUCAUCCCGUCUCGAGGGGGACAUCAACUAUAUCCCUGCGGGAACCUUGCCUAAUUAGUAAUUAAUGGUAUUUUCCGAGAGUAGAGAAAAAUCUCCCAAGAAUCCAGGUCAGUUGGGCCGCUUCUAGGAAUUUGUAGCUACCCAAACGAAACAUGCCUUCCCUGUUUAAAUAGAGAGAUUAACAUUAACGAUCCCACCGAAACAAUGUUUUCAAUGUUUAUCAGCUUUGAGGAAAGAGUAAAGUACGCCAAAGGGAUUAGAAUGAAACUCGAAUCAAGUUCUGGAUGCAUUCCGUUUUAUAUUUUAUUCAUAGAUCGAAAGAGGAAGACGACAAGGUGUAAAUAUUUCAAAGACGUAUUAAUACAACUUCCAAGUCACAAUUUUGACAAUUUCGAUCUAUCAAUAACCCGAGGUCGUCAGUCGGCAAUAACUUUCUAUACCGAUACCCAAUCUUUUCCUACUCGAAAUCUAUUCUUAAUGGACCACUUUUAAUGAUAGUACAACUCUAUAGAUCCAUCCAGAAAACCAGAUUUCCCCCCUUUUCUUAACCCCUCGAAAGAAUCGAUAUUAAAGCCAGCCCACAUAGCUUUUUUUUUAUAUUAUAAAUCGAUAAUAUUUG
Molecule: long non-coding RNA, 1621 nt
Filed under: Androctonus crassicauda
Lineage: Eukaryota; Metazoa; Arthropoda; Arachnida; Scorpiones; Buthidae
Source: RNAcentral